This 460-nucleotide ribosomal RNA is filed under the name uncultured bacterium. RNAcentral describes it as "partial 16S ribosomal RNA". It matches the Rfam family "Bacterial small subunit ribosomal RNA", at positions 338 to 795 of the family's 1533-position model. The record is from RNAcentral.
CCUACGGGUGGCAGCAGUGAGGAAUAUUGGUCAAUGGGCUUACGCCUGAACCAGCCAAGUCGCGUGAGGGAAGACUGCCCUAUGGGUUGUAAACCUCUUUUGUCAGGGAGCAAUUGGCGCUACGUGUAGCGUUAUCGAGAGUACCUGAAGAAAAAGCAUCGGCUAACUCCGUGCCAGCAGCCGCGGUAAUACGGAGGAUGCGAGCGUUAUCCGGAUUUAUUGGGUUUAAAGGGUGCGUAGGCGGUUUUUUAAGUUAGUGGUUAAACGUCGGGGCUUCACCUUGAUUUGCCAUUAAUACUGUAAGACUCGAGUUCAGACGAGGUAGGCGGAAUAAGUUAAGUAGCGGUGAAAUGCUUAGAUAUAACUUAGAACUCCGAUAGCGAAGGCAGCUUACCAGACUGCGACUGACGCUGAAGCACGAGAGCGUGGGUAGCGAACAGGAUUAGAUACCCGAGUAGUC